This 173-nucleotide long non-coding RNA is filed under the name Chinchilla lanigera (long-tailed chinchilla). Its description in RNAcentral is "lncRNA (ENSCLAG00000022843.1)". Lineage: Eukaryota; Metazoa; Chordata; Mammalia; Rodentia; Chinchillidae. The record is from RNAcentral.
AGUAAAUGCAUCACCCCUGACCUCACAAAGAAGAUCAGCAUGUAGCACUGUUCAUUCAGCGUAUAACCAAAAAAAAAGCCAGUGCCACUGGACUGCAAGAGAAAGGAGGGCAGAAGGAAAUCAACUCUGUAUCUGGAAGGGACAGGUAGGUGAAACCCAAGUCAUAGAAACGC